This is a long non-coding RNA of Cydia pomonella (codling moth), 1263 nucleotides long. RefSeq lists it as uncharacterized. The record is from RefSeq and is a predicted model, not a curated record. The transcript is spliced from 2 exons. NCBI's taxonomy places the organism in Eukaryota, Metazoa, Arthropoda, Insecta, Lepidoptera, Tortricidae.
AUUAAAAUUGAUUUUAAGAAUUUUUUAUUGAAUUCCAUUUUUGAAUGGUUGACAAUUAUUUUAAAACAAAAAACAGUCAUUUGCUGCAAUUUAUCACGAUAGAGUGGACAUUGAAAGAAAACCGAAUAGCUGUUUCAGGGAUCGGAAACCGGUAUUUUUUGUAUGGGAACGAAAACGGUAUUUUUUCGUUCUUUGUCAAUUAUUUCAUUCCUAAUUGGGCAAUCUAAUAAUACGAAGUCGUUAUCUAAAAACACAACUGAGUCCUACAUUUUAAGUAUAAAAUAAACCGAAAUAUAUGGUUAUUUCGAUGUUUUUGCAAAAAACCGGUUCCGAUCCCUGAGCUGUUUUAACAUUGCACCGCAAUUGAGGACAAAAAAAAAUGGCUGGCCUCGCUCCGUACGCGAACACCAGCAGUGAUCAAACCGAUCAAGAUGACUUUGCAGAUGGGUGUCAGUAGAAAAACCGUGAAAAAGGUUUUAAACGAAGAUCUUAGUCUACGAGCAUACAUAAAAAAGAGUGGGCACUUACUUAAUUCCCGUCUAAAAACAAUAAGGCUUAAAAGAUCCUAGAAGUUGUUAAAGCGGUACGCGAAAAAUCGAUACCGUGAUAUCCUCUUUACAGACGAAAAGAUUUUUGAUAUUGAAGAGAAGUACAAUAAACAGAAUGAUAGAGUGUACGCUAGGUGCUCUGAAGAAGCAGGAAAAAGAGUUCCGCGGGUGCAAGAUGAGCAUCAUCCAUCAUCAGUGAUGGUCUGGUUGGGUGUAUCUCAUUACGGGCCAACUGAGGUUCAUUUUUGCGAAAAAGGGGUCAAAAUCAGUGCGUAAGUGUACCAAGAGACGGUUUUGGAUAAGCUUGUCAAAGAUCUGCCCAACAAGCUAUUUUCAGGACAAUUUUGUGUUCCAGCAAUAUUCUGCGCCAACACCCAAAGCCAAGACCACUCAAGCCUGCUUUGACCGUCAAAAAAUCAACUUUAUAAGACACUUAGAUUGGCCUUCCUCCAGUCCGGACUUUAAUUCUUUGGACUAUAAAAUUUGGCAGGUCUUAAAGAGGCAGGUCUGUGCUAAACCCCAUAAAAAUUUGGAGAGCAUAAAAGUCAUCUUUAAGAAAAGCAGUCGCUGAAAUAAACAUGAAAAUGGUGCGUGCUGACGACUGGCCGCGCCGAUUAAGGGCCUGUAUUAAAAACAAGGGAGGUCAUUUUGAAUAAUUUUAAUUCUUUAUUAAAUGUACUUUUAAUUGGUAUAUAAUUUAUUAAAAACUGAUUGG